GUCAGCGAAGUGCGACCGGAGGGCAAGAUACUACGUCAUCACAGUUUGCCUGCGGUUUCCAUUGUUUCAAAUCGAUCAAAAGCUCGUGUGUGCAGCGGCCACUUCGAAAGUGCCUGUGUGCUGGAGACCAGGGAUUCUCAACGAUGGAGAUGAUACACACCACCACAGGCAAGAUUCGAACUCAUGAUCUUCAACCUACCAAGCUGUCGUCUAUUGGCUUGAGCUAAUCAUCUGGAUAUUUCUAUGCAUUGUAUUUGUGUUUUCCAGGUUUAGUCAGCUGCUGCGGCCUGGACAGAAAAACCAGCUCUCACCUUAAACGUA
Long non-coding RNA from Lates calcarifer (barramundi perch), 321 nucleotides. RefSeq lists it as uncharacterized. Lineage: Eukaryota; Metazoa; Chordata; Actinopteri; Centropomidae. The transcript has 4 exons. The record is from RefSeq and is a predicted model, not a curated record.